UUUGGGUGGCGGACGGGUGAGUAACGCGUAAAGAACUUGCCUCACAGCUAGGGACAACAUUUGGAAACGAAUGCUAAUACCUGAUAUUAUGAUUAUAUGGCAUCGUAUAAUUAUGAAAGCUAUAUGCGCUGUGAGAGAGCUUUGCGUCCCAUUAGCUAGUUGGAGAGGUAACGGCUCACCAAGGCGAUGAUGGGUAGCCGGCCUGAGAGGGUGAUCGGCCACAAGGGGACUGAGACACGGCCCUUACUCCUACGGGAGGCAGCAGUGGGGAAUAUUGGACAAUGGACCGAGAGUCUGAUCCAGCAAUUCUGUGUGCACGAUGAAGUUUUUCGGAAUGUAAAGUGCUUUCAGUUGGGAAGAAAAAAAUGACGGUACCAACAGAAGAAGUGACGGCUAAAUACGUGCCAGCAGCCGCGGUAAUACGUAUGUCACGAGCGUUAUCCGGAUUUAUUGGGCGUAAAGCGCGUCUAGGUGGUUAUGUAAGUCUGAUGUGAAAAUGCAGGGCUCAACUCUGUAUUGCGUUGGAAACUGUAUAACUAGAGUACUGGAGAGGUAAGCGGAACUACAAGUGUAGAGGUGAAAUUCGUAGAUAUUUGUAGGAAUGCCGAUGGGGAAGCCAGCUUACUGGACAGAUAUUGACGCUGAAGCGCGAAAGCGUGGGUAGCAAACAGGAUUAGAUACCCUGGUAGUCCACGCCGUAAACGAUGAUUACUAGGUGUUGGGGGUCGA
Molecule: ribosomal RNA, 729 nt
Filed under: uncultured Fusobacterium sp.
Lineage: Bacteria; Fusobacteriati; Fusobacteriota; Fusobacteriia; Fusobacteriales; Fusobacteriaceae
Description: bacterial SSU rRNA
Rfam family: Bacterial small subunit ribosomal RNA
Source: RNAcentral